Long non-coding RNA from Bombina bombina (fire-bellied toad), 816 nucleotides. RefSeq lists it as uncharacterized. The record is from RefSeq and is a predicted model, not a curated record. The transcript has 3 exons. Lineage: Eukaryota; Metazoa; Chordata; Amphibia; Anura; Bombinatoridae.
GCUUGAAAUUCUCCCCCUAAGAGGUGAAGAGGUUAGGGAAGCAGUGGCCUGAUGACCGCUGCUUUAUAAAUACGGAUUGCAGGUUCUCUUGUGAGAACCUGCAGUCCUAAAUGAGUGAAGCCUUUGAUAGAUUGAGCCCAUAAUGUAUUAGUGCGCAUUCAGAGCUUCACCAAUAAGCACCUAUAAAAAGGCUUACCAGACUUCCAGUUUGACUGGGAUUGUCCCUGUUUGGAGGUGCUGUCCCAGUGUCCCACACGAUUGUUCAUUCUGUCCCGGCCGUAGGGUUGUAUUGCCUGUAUUUUACUCAUUCUGGCAGCCGGUGCCAGAAUGAGUAAAAUACAGGCAAUACAAAAGCCAUUUUUUUUAUUCUAAGUCUGUGCCAGUGACGUCAUUUUAUCGGACUGUGUGUGUCCAUGCUGUCUCCUGUCUGCCUCUGAUGUGGCUGUGCUGCAAGAAUUGCUGCUUUUUCAAAGAUAACAUAAAAUCAAGAAAAAAGGAUAUUACAUGAAAUAAACUGAGUAGAGACACAGAAAAAUUUCAAAUAUUAGCCCAGUAUGUCCGGUAGCAUGAAGCAAAGGCUGACCAAUCAGAAUACAGCCGCCAUUUUGUGGGCGGUCCCGCGACGUCACGUUAGUCCCUGCGUCUGAUCGUCGCCAUCUAAAAAUCAGCCGCUCCUCCUUGAGUCUCCUGCUUCAGUUAUAAAUAUAACAUUUUAUUGUUGCAAGUUGCAUUUUUUCCUCACAUCUUGUUACAUUAUUGUAUUUCAACACAUUUUUUAUUUUAGUAUUAUAGCACCAUCUAUUGUUAUAAUUUCAU